RNAcentral lists this ribosomal RNA (538 nucleotides) under uncultured bacterium. Its description in RNAcentral is "bacterial SSU rRNA". It matches the Rfam family "Bacterial small subunit ribosomal RNA", at positions 355 to 895 of the family's 1533-position model. The record is from RNAcentral.
UGAGGAAUAUUGGUCAAUGGACGGAAGUCUGAACCAGCCAAGUAGCGUGCAGGAUGACGGCCCUAUGGGUUGUAAACUGCUUUUGUAUGGGGAUAAAGUUAGGGACGUGUCCCUAUUUGCAGGUACCAUACGAAUAAGGACCGGCUAAUUCCGUGCCAGCAGCCGCGGUAAUACGGAAGGUUCAGGCGUUAUCCGGAUUUAUUGGGUUUAAAGGGAGCGUAGGCUGGAGAUUAAGUGUGUUGUGAAAUGUAGACGCUCAACGUCUGAAUUGCAGCGCAUACUGGUUUCCUUGAGUACGCACAACGUUGGCGGAAUUCGUCGUGUAGCGGUGAAAUGCUUAGAUAUGACGAAGAACUCCGAUUGCGAAGGCAGCUGACGGGAGCGCAACUGACGCUUAAGCUCGAAGGUGCGGGUAUCAAACAGGAUUAGAUACCCUGGUAGUCCGCACAGUAAACGAUGGAUGCCCGCUGUUGGUACCUGGUAUCAGCGGCUAAGCGAAAGCAUUAAGCAUCCCACCUGGGGAGUACGCCGGCNCGGU